UAGGCAGGGGAUGUAUCGGCAUUGUGCUAUGACUAACACACUGUGUUUUGAAGCGUGCCCUGCAAUAUCAAUGCAGGGGAUAUGAGCAGUUAUGUUAUAAUUUCGGCAAUUAAAUUGUCAACACUCAUCUUCCCAGCAACA
Small nucleolar RNA from Pistacia vera, 141 nucleotides. RefSeq annotates it as small nucleolar RNA snoR135. The record is from RefSeq and is a predicted model, not a curated record. NCBI's taxonomy places the organism in Eukaryota, Viridiplantae, Streptophyta, Magnoliopsida, Sapindales, Anacardiaceae. The transcript has a single exon.